AAAGCACUUCAGUCGUGAGGAAGGUAGUGUAGUUAAUAGCUGCAUUAUUUGACGUUUAGCGACAGAAGAAGCACCGGCUAACUCCGUGCCAGCAGCCGCGGUAAUACGGAGGGUGCGAGCGUUAAUCGGAAUUACUGGGCGUAAAGCGCAUGCAGGUGGUUUGUUAAGUUCAGAUGUGAAAGACCCGGGGCGUCAACCUCGGAAUAGCAUUUGUAAACUAGGCAGACUAGAGUACUGUAGAGGGGGGUAGGAAUUUCAGGUGUAGCGGUGAAAUGCGUAGAGAUCUGAAGGAAUACCGGUGGCGAAGGCGGCCCCCUCGGACAGAUACUGACACUCAGAUGCGAAAGCGUGGGGAGCAAACAGGAUUAGAUACCCUGGUAG
This 381-nucleotide ribosomal RNA is filed under the name uncultured bacterium. RNAcentral describes it as "bacterial SSU rRNA". It matches the Rfam family "Bacterial small subunit ribosomal RNA", at positions 427 to 793 of the family's 1533-position model. The record is from RNAcentral.